UAAUACGUAGGUGGCAAGCGUUGUCCGGAAUUAUUGGGCGUAAAGCGCGCGCAGGCGGGAUAUCAAGUCUGUCUUAAAAGUUCGGGGCUCAACCCCGUGAUGGGAUGGAAACUGGUAUUCUUGAGUGUCGGAGAGGAAAGUGGAAUUCCCAGUGUAGCGGUGAAAUGCGUAGAUAUUGGGAGGAACACCAGUGGCGAAGGCGACUUUCUGGACGAUGUCUGACGCUGAGGCGCGAAAGCCAGGGAAGUGAACGGGAUUAGAUACCCCGGUAAUCCUGGCCGUAAACGAUGGGUACUAGGUGUAGAGGGUAUCGACCCCUUCUGUGCCGGAGUUAACGCAAUAAGUACCCCGCCUGGGGAGUACGGCCGCAAGGUUG
Molecule: ribosomal RNA, 376 nt
Filed under: uncultured bacterium
Lineage: Bacteria
Description: bacterial SSU rRNA
Rfam family: Bacterial small subunit ribosomal RNA
Source: RNAcentral